UACGUAGGGUGCAAGCGUUGUCCGGAUUCAUUGGGCGUAAAGGGUGCGUAGGCGGCGCGGUAAGUCGGGUGUGAAAUCUCGGAGCUUAACUCCGAAACUGCAUUCGAUACUGCCGUGCUUGAGGACUGGAGAGGAGACUGGAAUUUACGGUGUAGCGGUGAAAUGCGUAGAUAUCGUAAGGAAGACCAGUGGCGAAGGCGGGUCUCUGGACAGUUCCUGACGCUGAGGCACGAAGGCCAGGGGAGCAAACGGG
This 253-nucleotide ribosomal RNA is filed under the name uncultured bacterium. RNAcentral describes it as "partial 16S ribosomal RNA". It matches the Rfam family "Bacterial small subunit ribosomal RNA", at positions 524 to 776 of the family's 1533-position model. The record is from RNAcentral.